Molecule: ribosomal RNA, 494 nt
Filed under: uncultured bacterium
Lineage: Bacteria
Description: partial 16S ribosomal RNA
Rfam family: Bacterial small subunit ribosomal RNA
Source: RNAcentral
GAACGCUGGCGGCGUGCCUAAUACAUGCAAGUCGAGCGAACGGACGAGAAGCUUGCUUCUCUGAUGUUAGCGGCGGACGGGUGAGUAACACGUGGAUAACCUACCUAUAAGACUGGGAUAACUUCGGGAAACCGGAGCUAAUACCGGAUAAUAUUUUGAACCGCAUGGUUCAACAGUGAAAGACGGUCUUGCUGUCACUUAUAGAUGGAUCCGCGCUGCAUUAGCUAGUUGGUAAGGUAACGGCUUACCAAGGCAACGAUGCAUAGCCGACCUGAGAGGGUGAUCGGCCACACGGGAACUGAGACACGGUCCAGACUCCUACGGGAGGCAGCAGUAGGGAAUCUUCCGCAAUGGGCGAAAGCCUGACGGAGCAACGCCGCGUGAGUGAUGAAGGUCUUCGGAUCGUAAAACUCUGUUAUUAGGGAAGAACAUAUGUGUAAGUAACUGUGCACAUCUUGACGGUACCUAAUCAGAAAGCCACGGCUAACUACGUG